AACGAACGCUGGCGGCAUGCCUAACACAUGCAAGUCGAACGAGACCUUCGGGUCUAGUGGCGCACGGGUGCGUAACGCGUGGUAACCUGCCCUUAGGUUCGGAAUAACUCCCCGAAAGGGGUGCUAAUACCGGAUAAUGUCUUCGGACCAAAGAUUUAUCGCCUUUGGAUGGGCCCGCGUUGGAUUAGCUAGUUGGUAGGGUAAAAGCCUACCAAGGCGACGAUCCAUAGCUGGUCUGAGAGGAUGAUCAGCCACACUGGGACUGAGACACGGCCCAGACUCCUACGGGAGGCAGCAGUGGGGAAUAUUGGACAAUGGGCGAAAGCCUGAUCCAGCAAUGCCGCGUGAGUGAUGAAGGCCUUAGGGUUGUAAAGCUCUUUUACCCGGGAUGAUAAUGACAGUACCGGAAGAAUAAGCACCGGCUAACUCCGUG
This 433-nucleotide ribosomal RNA is filed under the name uncultured bacterium. RNAcentral describes it as "partial 16S ribosomal RNA". It matches the Rfam family "Bacterial small subunit ribosomal RNA", at positions 29 to 507 of the family's 1533-position model. The record is from RNAcentral.